CAGGCGCGGUAAUACGGAGGGUGCAAGCGUUAAUCGGAAUUACUGGGCGUAAAGCGCACGCAGGCGGUCUGUCAAGUCGGAUGUGAAAUCCCCGGGCUCAACCUGGGAACUGCAUUCGAAACUGGCAGGCUAGAGUCUUGUAGAGGGGGGUAGAAUUCCAGGUGUAGCGGUGAAAUGCGUAGAGAUCUGGAGGAAUACCGGUGGCGAAGGCGGCCCCCUGGACAAAGACUGACGCUCAGGUGCGAAAGCGUGGGGAGCAAACAGGAUUAGAUACCCUGGUAGUCCACGCCGUAAACGAUGUCGAUUUGGAGGUUGUGCCCUUGAGGCGUGGCUUCCG
Molecule: ribosomal RNA, 337 nt
Filed under: Pseudomonas aeruginosa
Lineage: Bacteria; Pseudomonadati; Pseudomonadota; Gammaproteobacteria; Pseudomonadales; Pseudomonadaceae
Description: bacterial SSU rRNA
Rfam family: Bacterial small subunit ribosomal RNA
Source: RNAcentral